RNAcentral lists this unclassified non-coding RNA (388 nucleotides) under Hevea brasiliensis (rubber tree). Lineage: Eukaryota; Viridiplantae; Streptophyta; Magnoliopsida; Malpighiales; Euphorbiaceae. The record is from RNAcentral.
AAAAAGCUCCGAACUAGUGUCUUGAGCCCAAAAAUCUUUAAUUGGCAAGAACCACUACAAUCAGAAGUCUUUUCUGAUAAAUCCAUAUCCUCCAACAUGGCCAGAUCAGUUAGCUGAAAUAUUUCCUCAAUGAUAUAACGGGUCACCACCUCUUCAUGCUCUUGAAAUGCUAAAACAGAAUGUUGUGCCAGACAGCCCAAAGACUGCAAAACUGUUGGAAGCUGUUUCCCCAGAUGUAAAGAAUCCACAAGUGUCUUGCACAAAUCUAAGAAAAUGGACAGCUCUGAAGGGCCCACUAGUGCUGCAAUUGCAGAAACAGCCAAUUUAGACUGAGCACGACUGCCAUCCAAGCAAACCUUCUCCAAGAAUGGAUAUAUGUCACCAAGGU